RNAcentral lists this unclassified non-coding RNA (170 nucleotides) under Basidiomycota sp. RNAcentral's name for it is "partial contains small subunit ribosomal RNA, internal transcribed spacer 1, and 5.8S ribosomal RNA". The stretch from base 1 to 47 matches the Rfam family "Eukaryotic small subunit ribosomal RNA", at positions 1785 to 1831 of the family's 1831-position model. The record is from RNAcentral. Lineage: Eukaryota; Fungi; Basidiomycota.
AAAGUCGUAACAAGGUUUCCGUAGGUGAACCUGCGGAAGGAUCAUUACCAAUAUCUUUCUUAAAAGAUGCUAUCCAUGUGCACUGUUUCUAUUACAGAAGCCUUCUUGUUGCCUGAUCCUUUGAGUUGCAUAAUAAAAUAAAACUUUUAACAACGGAUCUCUUGGCUCUC